UAGAUGAGGAUGAGGCAAUUUUAGCAUUAUAUCCAACACUUGAUCUGAGGAAUUUGUUUCCAAGUGAUUGCAACUUUUUGCUUCUGAAUCUAU
Molecule: small nucleolar RNA, 93 nt
Organism: Telopea speciosissima
Lineage: Eukaryota; Viridiplantae; Streptophyta; Magnoliopsida; Proteales; Proteaceae
Product: small nucleolar RNA snoR31
Exons: 1
Source: RefSeq, a predicted model, not a curated record